UACAGAGGUCUCAAGCGUUGUUCGGAUUCAUUGGGCGUAAAGGGUGCGUAGGCGGCGCGGUAAGUCGGGUGUGAAAUCUUGGAGCUUAACUCCGAAACUGCAUUCGAUACUGCCGUGCUUGAGGACUGGAGAGGAGACUGGAAUUUACGGUGUAGCGGUGAAAUUCGUAGAUAUUCGCAAGAACACCAGUGGCGAAGGCGGCUCACUGGCCCGGUACUGACGCUGAGGUGCGAAAGCGUGGGGAGCAAACAGG
RNAcentral lists this ribosomal RNA (253 nucleotides) under uncultured bacterium. RNAcentral's name for it is "partial 16S ribosomal RNA". It matches the Rfam family "Bacterial small subunit ribosomal RNA", at positions 524 to 776 of the family's 1533-position model. The record is from RNAcentral.